This 94-nucleotide transfer RNA is filed under the name Syntrophobacterales bacterium. RNAcentral describes it as "tRNA-Ser". It matches the Rfam family "tRNA". From Rfam's summary of the family: Transfer RNA (tRNA) molecules are approximately 80 nucleotides in length. Their secondary structure includes four short double-helical elements and three loops (D, anti-codon, and T loops). Lineage: Bacteria; Pseudomonadati; Thermodesulfobacteriota; Syntrophobacteria; Syntrophobacterales. The record is from RNAcentral. RNAcentral also lists the same sequence under 1 other name.
GGAGGGAUGUCCGAGAGGCUGAAGGAGCACGACUGGAAAUCGUGUGUACGCCCACAAAGGUGUACCGGGGGUUCGAAUCCCCCUCUCUCCGCCA